CGUAGCUCAGCUGGAUAGAGCAUCGGCCUUCUAAGCCGAGGGUCGUUGGUUCGAGUCCAACCGG
This 64-nucleotide transfer RNA is filed under the name marine eukaryotic metagenome. It matches the Rfam family "tRNA", at positions 6 to 65 of the family's 71-position model. Rfam says of the family: Transfer RNA (tRNA) molecules are approximately 80 nucleotides in length. Their secondary structure includes four short double-helical elements and three loops (D, anti-codon, and T loops). The record is from RNAcentral.